RNAcentral lists this ribosomal RNA (465 nucleotides) under Vreelandella stevensii. Its description in RNAcentral is "partial 16S ribosomal RNA". It matches the Rfam family "Bacterial small subunit ribosomal RNA", at positions 338 to 795 of the family's 1533-position model. Lineage: Bacteria; Pseudomonadati; Pseudomonadota; Gammaproteobacteria; Oceanospirillales; Halomonadaceae. The record is from RNAcentral.
CCUACGGGAGGCAUCAGUGGGGAAUAUUGGACAAUGGGGGGAACCCUGAUCCAGCCAUGCCGCGUGUGUGAAGAAGGCCCUCGGGUUGUAAAGCACUUUCAGUGAGGAAGAACGCCUGGUGGUUAAUACCCAUCAGGAAAGACAUCACUCACAGAAGAAGCACCGGCUAACUCCGUGCCAGCAGCCGCGGUAAUACGGAGGGUGCGAGCGUUAAUCGGAAUUACUGGGCGUAAAGCGCGCGUAGGUGGCUUGAUAAGCCGGUUGUGAAAGCCCCGGGCUCAACCUGGGAACGGCAUCCGGAACUGUCAAGCUAGAGUGCAGGAGAGGAAGGUAGAAUUCCCGGUGUAGCGGUGAAAUGCGUAGAGAUCGGGAGGAAUACCAGUGGCGAAGGCGGCCUUCUGGACUGACACUGACACUGAGGUGCGAAAGCGUGGGUAGCAAACAGGAUUAGAUACCCCGGUAGUC